RNAcentral lists this ribosomal RNA (951 nucleotides) under uncultured Mycobacterium sp. Its description in RNAcentral is "bacterial SSU rRNA". It matches the Rfam family "Bacterial small subunit ribosomal RNA", at positions 141 to 1106 of the family's 1533-position model. The record is from RNAcentral. Lineage: Bacteria; Bacillati; Actinomycetota; Actinomycetes; Mycobacteriales; Mycobacteriaceae.
GGAUAAGCCUGGGAAACUGGGUCUAAUACCGAAUAUGACCAUGCGCCUCCUGGUGUGUGGUGGAAAGCUUUUGCGGUGUGGGAUGGGCCCGCGGCCUAUCAGCUUGUUGGUGGGGUAAUGGCCUACCAAGGCGACGACGGGUAGCCGGCCUGAGAGGGUGACCGGCCACACUGGGACUGAGAUACGGCCCAGACUCCUACGGGAGGCAGCAGUGGGGAAUAUUGCACAAUGGGCGCAAGCCUGAUGCAGCGACGCCGCGUGAGGGAUGACGGCCUUCGGGUUGUAAACCUCUUUCAGCACAGACGAAGCGCAAGUGACGGUAUGUGCAGAAGAAGGACCGGCCAACUACGUGCCAGCAGCCGCGGUAAUACGUAGGGUCCGAGCGUUGUCCGGAAUUACUGGGCGUAAAGAGCUCGUAGGUGGUUUGUCGCGUUGUUCGUGAAAACUCACAGCUUAACUGUGGGCGUGCGGGCGAUACGGGCAGACUUGAGUACUGCAGGGGAGACUGGAAUUCCUGGUGUAGCGGUGGAAUGCGCAGAUAUCAGGAGGAACACCGGUGGCGAAGGCGGGUCUCUGGGCAGUAACUGACGCUGAGGAGCGAAAGCGUGGGGAGCGAACAGGAUUAGAUACCCUGGUAGUCCACGCCGUAAACGGUGGGUACUAGGUGUGGGUUUCCUUCCUUGGGAUCCGUGCCGUAGCUAACGCAUUAAGUACCCCGCCUGGGGAGUACGGCCGCAAGGCUAAAACUCAAAGAAAUUGACGGGGGCCCGCACAAGCGGCGGAGCAUGUGGAUUAAUUCGAUGCAACGCGAAGAACCUUACCUGGGUUUGACAUGCACAGGACGACUGCAGAGAUGUGGUUUCCCUUGUGGCCUGUGUGCAGGUGGUGCAUGGCUGUCGUCAGCUCGUGUCGUGAGAUGUUGGGUUAAGUCCCGCAACGAGCGCAACCCUU